GAUGAACGCUAGCUACAGGCUUAACACAUGCAAGUCGAGGGGAAACGGCAUCGAAAGCUUGCUUUUGAUGGGCGUCGACCGGCGCACGGGUGAGUAACGCGUAUCCAACCUGCCCAUCACUUGGGAAUAACCUUGCGAAAGUAAGACUAAUGCCCAAUGACAUCCCACGAAGGCAUCCGAAUGGGAUUAAAGAUUUAUCGGUGAUGGAUGGGGAUGCGUCUGAUUAGCUUGUUGGCGGGGUGACGGCCCACCAAGGCAACGAUCAGUAGGGGUUCUGAGAGGAAGGUCCCCCACAUUGGAACUGAGACACGGUCCAAACUCCUACGGGAGGCAGCAGUGACGAAUAUUGGUCAAUGGGCGAGAGCCUGAACCAGCCAAGUAGCGUGCAGGAUGACGGCCCUAUGGGUUGUAAACUGCUUUUAUAAGGGAAUAAAGUGGGUCACGUGUGACUUUUUGCAUGUACCUUAUGAAUAAGGACCGGCUAAUUCCGUG
Molecule: ribosomal RNA, 492 nt
Filed under: uncultured bacterium
Lineage: Bacteria
Description: partial 16S ribosomal RNA
Rfam family: Bacterial small subunit ribosomal RNA
Source: RNAcentral